This 393-nucleotide ribosomal RNA is filed under the name uncultured bacterium. Its description in RNAcentral is "bacterial SSU rRNA". It matches the Rfam family "Bacterial small subunit ribosomal RNA", at positions 355 to 765 of the family's 1533-position model. The record is from RNAcentral.
UCGGGAAUUUUGGGCAAUGGGCGAAAGCCUGACCCAGCAACGCCGCGUGAGGGAUGAAGUAUUUCGGUAUGUAAACCUCGAAAGAAUGGGAAGAAUAAAUGACGGUACCAUUUAUAAGCUCCGGCUAACUACGUGCCAGCAGCCGCGGUAAUACGUAGGGAGCAAGCGUUGUUCGGAUUUACUGGGCGAAAAGGGCGCGUAGGCGGCGCGGUAAGUCACUUGUGAAAUCUCUGAGCUUAACUCAGAACGGCCAAGUGAUACUGCUGUGCUAGAGUGCGGAAGAGGCAACCGGAAUUCUUGGUGUAGCGGUGAAAUGCGUAGAUAUCAAGAGGAACACCUGAGGCGAAGGCGGGUUGCUGGGCCGACACUGACGCUGAUGCGCGAAAGCCAGGG